AAAUAAACUAACUGUGGAUCCCUGUGUGACCAAGGAGCAAAGAAUAGAAGGAUUUGAUCUUUCAGGGCCCAUGGGUGGACCAUCCAAGACAGGGUGCACACAUGUCCCAGAAACUGAAGGAGAGCGGAGACCCCUGGGGUGUCGUGGCAUGAACAGGAGUUGGAGAGGCUGCAAGGCUGGGCAGUGGGCAGCCUGAAAACCUCAUGAAGGACCCUGUCCUUUGUGGAUUUCAGGAUGUCACACUCAGCUGAAGCCAGAAUGUGGAGCAACAGAUGGAAACCAGUUCAUGCUCUUGAAAGAGUCACCUGUGCCAGCCAAGCACGGACAUGAAGGGCGGAGGAAGAGCCAACUUGAGGAGUCCACUGAGAAGACCACUCAGAGGCUGGAAGAGAGGGGCUCAGACUAGCAAUGACCUGGGAGAGGAGCGAAGGAGCAGACUUCAAGAAUGGCUUGGAGACAGCAGAAAGAAACUGACAGUGCUUGACAGUGUUUGCUUUUAAAUUGC
Molecule: long non-coding RNA, 505 nt
Filed under: Homo sapiens (human)
Lineage: Eukaryota; Metazoa; Chordata; Mammalia; Primates; Hominidae
Description: HSALNT0253641
Source: RNAcentral